UCCGGUGGCUAUACCGGCGGGGCAACACCCGUUCCCAUUCCGAACACGGAAGUGAAGACCGCCAGGGCCGAUGGUACUGCGACCGCAGGGUCGUGGGAGAGUAGGUCGCCGCCGGAU
This 117-nucleotide ribosomal RNA is filed under the name Nitrospirota bacterium. Lineage: Bacteria; Pseudomonadati; Nitrospirota. The record is from RNAcentral. RNAcentral also lists the same sequence under 1 other name.